UUCCACCUGAGGAGCGGCUUACGCGAUAUUAGCUUGUUGGCGAGGUAACGGCUCACCAAGGCUGCGAUAUCUAGGGGGUGUGAGAGCAUGGCCCCCACCACUGGGACUGAGAUACUGCCCAGACACCUACGGGUGGCUGCAGUCGAGAAUCUUCGGCAAUGGGCGAAAGCCUGACCGAGCGACGCCGCGUGCGGGAUGAAGGUCUUCGGAUUGUAAACCGCUGUCGGGAGGGAUGAAGUGCACGGGGGCAAUCCCCUGUGUUUGACAGAGCUCCGGAGGAAGCACGGGCUAAGUUCGUGCCAGCAGCCGCGGUAAUACGAACUGUGCGAACGUUAUUCGGAAUCACUGGGCUUAAAGGGUGCGUAGGCGGCGCUGUAAGUCAGGUGUGAAAUCCCCCGGCUCAACCGGGGAAUGGCGCUUGAAACUGCAGUGCUUGAGUGAGGUAGGGGUGCAUGGAACUUCCGGUGGAGCGGUGAAAUGUGUAGAUAUCGGAAGGAACGCCGGCGGCGAAAGCGGUGCACUGGGCCUUGUCUGACGCUGAGGCACGAAAGCUAGGGUAGCGAACGGGAUUAGAU
RNAcentral lists this ribosomal RNA (575 nucleotides) under uncultured bacterium. Its description in RNAcentral is "bacterial SSU rRNA". It matches the Rfam family "Bacterial small subunit ribosomal RNA", at positions 213 to 783 of the family's 1533-position model. The record is from RNAcentral.